GUUGAAGAAUUUACUGCUCAGAUGCGUGCUGUAUCUAAGAUCGCAUUGCACCGUCGUUCUAAUUUAGCCCUUUUUCUUGAGAUGAACGGUAUUCUUGCAGACAUCUAUUUCAUGCACAUCCUAUAUCAUUCACACAUUUUUGUAUUCAAACACUUGUGCAUACAUGCUAAGUGUAUUUGUAAACUAAAUUCACACCUAAUACUUAUCCUACGUCCCAAACCAACAUGAUAUGUUUGAUUAAAAUAUGAUGAACUAAUAUCUCAAACUCGGCAGAGAGAUUAUGUGGGGCC
RNAcentral lists this unclassified non-coding RNA (290 nucleotides) under Hevea brasiliensis (rubber tree). Lineage: Eukaryota; Viridiplantae; Streptophyta; Magnoliopsida; Malpighiales; Euphorbiaceae. The record is from RNAcentral.